Molecule: ribosomal RNA, 396 nt
Filed under: uncultured bacterium
Lineage: Bacteria
Description: partial 16S ribosomal RNA
Rfam family: Bacterial small subunit ribosomal RNA
Source: RNAcentral
AUACGUAGGUGGCAAGCGUUGUCCGGAAUUAUUGGGCGUAAAGCGCAUGUAGGCGGUGCCUUAAGUCUGUCGUGAAACUGCGGGGCUUACCCCCGUAUGGCGAUGGAAACUGUGGCACUUGAGGGCAGGAGAGGAAAGGGGAACUCCCAGUGUAGCGGGGAAAUGCGUAGAUAUUGGGAAGAACACCGGUGGCGAAGGCGCCUUUCUGGACUGUGUCUGACGCUGAGAUGCGAAAGCCAGGGUAGCGAACGGGAUUAGAUACCCCGGUAGUCCUGGCCGUAAACGAUGGGUACUAGGUGUGGGAGGUAUCGACCCCUUCCGUGCCGGAGUUAACGCAAUAAGUACCCCGCCUGGGGAGUACGGCCGCAAGGCUUAAACUCAAAGGAAUUGACGGGG